This 441-nucleotide long non-coding RNA is filed under the name Helianthus annuus (common sunflower). Lineage: Eukaryota; Viridiplantae; Streptophyta; Magnoliopsida; Asterales; Asteraceae. The record is from RNAcentral.
GGACAAGCUAGUCCGUUGACCAGGGUUGACGCGGGCCGCGUAACCCUUGUCCUUUCUUUACGCGGGCCGCGUGGGAACCAGUUUCAGCACUAUAUAAGAAGGCCAUCGGGUUUCACUUUCCGUCGCUCACAUCUUUCUUUCUAAACGAAUUUCUGAAGUAGUAGAGAUUAUAGUUGGGUAUUAUACCCCUAAUUAGCGAAGCUCUGCCUCGUUCUGUCGUGGUUCUGCCCGACGUAGUCGUUGGAAUGUCGUCUCGGGGAGGAUUAUAACCAGGGAAUCACAAAGGAAAGCCCUAUAAUAGCAAUGUAACUUAGUAUGAAGCUAAUAAAAGCCAGCUGGAGAGCACUGAAGGCUUGGAAAAGUGACAAUAAAGUUACCUAAAAUAAAAUAGAUGUUUUUAUUAAACAAAAUAGGAUUUGGUCCUAUGAAAAUGUAUGUACU